This 457-nucleotide ribosomal RNA is filed under the name uncultured bacterium. RNAcentral's name for it is "bacterial SSU rRNA". It matches the Rfam family "Bacterial small subunit ribosomal RNA", at positions 791 to 1249 of the family's 1533-position model. The record is from RNAcentral.
UAGUCCACGCCGUAAACGAUGAGUGCUUGCUGUCGGGUUUAUACUCGGUGGCGAAGCUAACGCGUUAAGCACUCCGCCUGGGGAGUACGAUCGCAAGAUUAAAACUCAAAGGAAUUGACGGGGCCCGCACAAGCGGUGGAGCAUGUGGUUUAAUUCGAUGCAACGCGAAAAACCUUACCAACCCUUGACAUCCCGAGUGGGGGCUAAGAGAUUAGCCCUUUCAGUUCGGCUGGCUCGGUGACAGGUGCUGCAUGGCUGUCGUCAGCUCGUGUCGUGAGAUGUUGGGUUAAGUCCCGCAACGAGCGCAACCCCCACUUUCAGUUGCCAGCGAUACGGUCGGAACUCUGGAGGAACUGCCGGUGAUAAACCGGAGGAAGGCGGGGAUGACGUCAAGUCCUCAUGGCCCUUAUGGGGUUGGGGCAACACACGUGCUACAAUGGGCGGCUACAAUGGGGCA